Molecule: RNA transcript, 10642 nt
Organism: Alligator mississippiensis (American alligator)
Lineage: Eukaryota; Metazoa; Chordata; Crocodylia; Alligatoridae
Gene: NT5M
Gene name: 5',3'-nucleotidase, mitochondrial
Exons: 6
Source: RefSeq, a predicted model, not a curated record
UGCAGCCCGCCCGGCCGGGCCGUGGGAAGAGGAACUGCGGGCCGAGCACUGCCGGGUUGGGCUGCCCGCCGGGAGGGCACCGCGUCAUUGCACCCCCGCCUGCUUUGCACCUCCAUUGCACCCCCGCCUGCUUCGCACACCCAUUGCACCCCCGCCUGCUUUGCACCUCCAUUGCACCCCCGCCUGCUUCGCACACCCAUUGCACCCUCGCCUGCUUUGCACCUCCAUUGCACCCCCGCCUGCUUUGCACACCCAUUGCACCCCCGCCUGCUUUGCACACCCAUUGCACCCUCGCCUGCUUUGCACCUCCAUUGCAUCCCCCCCUGCUUUGCACACCCAUUGCACCCCCGCCUGCUUUGCACCCCCAUUACACCUCCCCGACCAGGAUCCUAAACCCACUGCAUCUCUAACCCUGGGGAUGCCUCCCUCACUGCCCAGGAUGCAGCUUGCCCAGCCCUGGCCCUGAUGCCAUGUCCACCAUGGUUCUGCUCAGCAGCUUCUUGCACCUGCAGGGCAGGCGCUGCGGGCCCUUUGCAGCCCUGGGGCUGGGCAGGGCCCCCCACCGCAGGCUCCGGGCGUGCGGGGCUGGCUGCAGGCCCCUGCGGGUGCUGGUGGACAUGGACGGGGUGCUCGCCGACUUCGAAGGAGGAUUCCUAAAGAAGUUCAGGGCCAGGUACCCAGACACCCCCUACAUUACCCUGGAGGACCGCAGGGGCUUCUGGGUGUCGGAACAGUAUGGGCGCCUGAGACCUGAGCUGAGUGAGAAAGCAAUAAGCAUAUGGGAGUCAAAGAAUUUCUUCAUCGAGCUGGAUCCGCUCCCAGGCGCUGUGGAAGCUGUGAAGCAGAUGGCCAAUAUGGAGAACACUGAUGUGUUCAUCUGUACAAGUCCAAUCAAGAUGUACCGUUAUUGCCCUUACGAGAAGUAUGCAUGGGUGGAGAAGCAUUUUGGCCAAGAAUUUCUGGAGCAGAUUGUUCUCACCCGUGAUAAAACCGUGGUCUCUGCUGACCUCCUCAUAGAUGACAGACCGGAUAUAACAGGUGCCGAGCCGAACCCCAGCUGGGAGCACAUCCUCUUCACAGCUUGUCACAACAAGCACCUGCGGCUGAAACCCCCCAGCAGGAGGCUUCACUCGUGGACUGACGACUGGCGGGCAGUCCUGGACAGCAAACGGGCAGCGUGCAACCAGUUAAUUUAAAGCAAGAGCGGCCUGUGAUUGUACAUCAUCAGGCUGCCCUUGGUUCCACCCAAGGCACUCUGUGGCAUCCAGCUGGAAGCUGAAAACCACACAGAUACACCAGCCCCCGCUGAAGCAGUCCAUGAGAAGAGGUGCCCUGCCUCAACGCUGUGGGAGGGGAUGGUUGCUGCCACCUGGGUCCCUGUGAAUAGGACCGAACAACAAUUGGAUUUGAUAAGCUAAAAGCCACUGAGCCACGUGCAGCUGUUGUGGAAGGGGAAGGCCCUUGGAGGGACACUGAGCCCCUGUUUUUUGGUUAUUGGGUGUGCACCUCACACCUGCUUCUGUGAUAUCUGUGGUGUCUGCUGUGAGGUCCACUGUGUGGCUGACUGAGGCACCCACUGCUCAGCCUGUGACCUGGAGUCCCACGGACUUGCUUAGCUGUGCCAAUGAGCUGAAAUCCCCUCUGCCUACACUGCUGCUGGGGCCUGGGCCAGCAGCCAGCUCGGUCUAGCACUUACCCCAGGCCUGUCCUCCAGAAUGCGAGGGAACAGGUUUUCCCUCUUUCACCUCCCCACGAGACUGGCUUUUCACUCCUUGGCUUGCCUGCUGUCACCCCUCCAAGGAGACCAUCCCCAAGCAGCAUAUGGAGUGGAUGGUUUCUCUUCAGAGCUGUGAACGGGCGACUGGGGCUGCCUCCCAGGACCCUUGUUAUUAAAGAAGGUCCUUAGGGUUUGGGUGGUGACUCCCUGCCAGCCAAGACUCUGCCUAGCCCACCGAUAGAUGCCAAGGGAACGCCCUCCUCAGAGGGUUACUGUGCAGCCUUGCCAGCUCUCUGCCCUCCUAGAGGGGUAGAAACAUCUGGAAACAUGCAGCACAGAAGACUGACAAUGGCAGACAUCCAGGAAGGAUCAGCCUUCAAAGCUGGCAGGCUGUACGUAGACCCCAUGUUCUGGCUCAGCUGUGAUCUGUGCGGCAUCUGACAGCUACAUCCACGUCAGGGCCAGGGACCCAUAUGAUCAGACUGGAGGGAGACUGGCCUAGCAGUGAUAGGCCCAGGAUGACGGCUCUGGAGGAAAGGUAUAAACAGUGACAGCUUCAGGAUCUGGGGGACGGGGUGACCCUGAAACUUCAAUCCAUCUUACUGCAUUGCAUGGAAGUAGCCUGACCUCAGCAUGACCUGUUUUCCUGCACAGCCCGUCCUUAUUGCACAUGACAGUUAUGCCCAGCCUUCAAUUGCCCUGCAGUCUGGGUUGGUGAAAAACCAAGCUCCUACGACAGGCGGUGAUAUGACUCCAGGCACUGGGGACCUGCUGCAACCACUGCUGCUCCAGAGGCCUAAAACUGGUUUGGACAUGACCCCAGAAGCACCCUCGUAACAAAGGGGUCUACAGACAACCUGUACAUUUGCCAAUGGCCACCCUGGGGCUGAGGAAAGCAAUCAGAGCUCCGUCCUUGGUCAAGAUUACGCACAUCCUCAUUCAUGCUAGGGGGGGAAGCUAAUCUAUCCCAAGAUUGAUUUCCUCAGGAGACAGAGGUUCCCCAAGCCCUUCACUAGCUUGAAGUCACCUAUGGGCUACUGCUUCCCUUUCCUCCUGUGAAUUUUGAGGCUCUUCUUCCCACUCAGUGCCUGACAAGACACUGGCAGUUCUCGCAGUGUGCUCCAUUACUGGGAAACACCAGGACAGCUGUUAACUCCAGAUGGCAGCCCCUUGAGACGGCCCGGCCCAUUUUAUAAUGAUUGGCGUAUCUCUUGCAGAUGUUCUGCACAGAAGGGUUCAUCAUAGCCCACAGGCCAGCAGGAAAUGCCAGGGUGCGCAAAGGAGACAGGGGAGACAGAAAUGAGACACAGCCGGAGGAGGAGGGAACGUGCGUGAAGACAAUAUAAUCACACAGAGCAAUGAGCAGCUGUGAUGUAACAGCUGCCCUCCAUGCAGCGCAUCCCCUGCUUGGUGACAGAUUCCUGGAUCCAGAGCAACAUGCCCACGGCCGCUGGGAACAAUGCCCCGUGGCACUGAGUUCUCAAGAAGGGAAGCGAAAAGGGCACGGUGAGUCACUGCAAAAUAAGCAAGGAUGAAAGCCAGCUGUGAAGUUCUGACCAUCCUUGGGCAUAUAUCCCAGGGGCACUGGCUGACUCAGACGUAACCUCUUCCCCAUGCCCCGAGGAGGGGGAUUAGCAUGGUCCACCCUGUUACCGAGGAAUAUCAUUGUCUGAAUCCUCAACCGUCCAUGAAGUGCAAGGUCACCAUGAAUUGUUCUCCGUGACAUCCCCUCGGUCAGAUCUCUGCAACGAGAGGCUGUGCUCUCACCUCAUUGUCCUGAGUCAAAUGUGACCAUGGAGAGGGCCUGACCUUCACAUGGGGCCAUCCAGAAGGUCUCUGCCAUUCAUGUAAACUGGUGUGCAAGCCAUUGGAAGGGCAGCUUCAUCACCUGAUGCCAUUCAAAUGUCCACGAGGGGGAGCUGCGUGACCACAGGUAACAGCAUGGAGGCUGCUUUGGUCCCAGAAGAUGCCUGUGACACUCUCCAAGGGAUGGGGAAGCACUUUCUGCCAACACUCCCUAUGUCCUCAGAGGGGAGCUCCCAGCACAUGGCUCAUAAGAUCCCUCUGGGAACAAGGGGUGGGGCUGGGCAAAGGACACCCCCUUUUCUACAUCCAGCUUUGGAUGGGGAAGGGGUCUAGGCAAUCACAACCCCUCCCCCCAUGCCCACCCUGUAGAUGCUCAGCAACCACCAAACUAUGGAUGGAGACCCCAAUACUCUAGCCACAGUGAUAAGGCAUUUCCAAGGCUCCCAGCAAUAGACACUGCUGGUCCCAGCAUCCCUCCCAUCCUGCAAGAUCAUAAGUGCAAUAGUUGUAACUGGCAGUGCUUUGACCCUCUGUUACCCCUUCCCCAGGGAUCUUGGAGCACUUUGCAUUCCCUAACAAGCCUAAUCUGAAAGCAGGAUGAGCCAGAAGUUACAGCAACACGAUGCUAUGUUCCCUAUGGAUCCCAGAACCAGCCUGACAAGCACUGCUGGGACAACAGCCUGGCUUGAGAAUGCCUCCCAAGCCCUGUGCACUCAGGUGACUAUUGCUCCCUCUGUGACACCUCUCCUAGUCUCCCCCAGGAGGGGCUAAGAAGGACCCCAGCUUUAGCUCUAUUGCUCUAGCUCCAUGAUUCUCCAUCAGGGUGCUGCAGCAAUCCUAGGUGCUGUGAGAUCAUUUCAUGGGUGCUGUGGUACAGUGGGGUGUGCAAACACCUACACGUGAUUCACAAGAUAACCCAGAGAUACUAAAUAGGAAUCGAUGGUAUCAAAAAUGUUCUGACCUGGGGUCUUUCUGAGCUCUUUGCAACAGAAGAAUUGCUCUGUUAUUUCUCCAUAGUCAAAAAAGAAGGGAACGCUAAGAGCCGGCAUUUUCUAAGAGGUGCCUUGAGCCUAAAACGGUUGAGACCACUCCUCUAGACACUUUAGUCCAGUGGGACCCCACCACCUCUGUCCAUGGGCUGUUUAUGACAGUCAGUCCAUGCAGUCUGCACUCUGAGGGCAAAAGCUUUGAUAUUAUAGUCACCAUGGUAGCCAGGUGCUUCUGUUAUCGAUACUAAUACAUACAGGACGGUGCCCACGUUGCUUGCCAAGGGAGGUGUAAACACUAAGGCUCAGUCAGCUGUAACUGUUGAUACCAACCCCUGGUUGCUGACCCACUCGGAGAUCCCCAGAAACAGCCCAAAACAAAAACACCGAGCCAGCCAGUCUGCCAAGAAUUAAUGAGCCGUGCAUUCAGCUCAAAGGCCGCUGGGCUCAUGCUUUGGCAUUGCACCAAGGAAGGCAGGCUUGAAAGGUGGUGAAGGCCACUGAGGACACCAGGGCAAUGAGUUCAGCAGAGUGAAAAGCGUAAACACCAGCUCCAGGUGGGAUGGAGAUAGGUUUGGACCUGAGAAGAGAGGAAGUGAGAGGCUGGUGCCAAAGACAAACAGAGGCCAAAGCUGGUUUUCACAGAGACCAGUAGAAGGCCUUCCAUGGGUGCCAGCAGGCACUGGGUGCUGCCUCUGGAGGAGAUGCAUGGGCAAGGGGUUGCUUCCCAAGUUUCGCACUGAAUAGGUUACUGGAAGAACUUUGGAGAGUAUGUUGGUGCCGAUCCCCGUUAUAAGCAGGUGCUUGAUGGUUGACUGGUUGGUUGCAUAAAAGCCUCAAGGCAAGCUAUGAUUUUGAUUUGGGCAAGUGCUUUCCAAACACCUCCUCCCUGUCUCUGCUCUGAAGCACCUGCAGCUAGAGAAGGCAAGAGCACGCAGGAGGGGAAGGAUUGAUGGUCAAGGGAGCGAUGUAUUCUACUCCCCCCCUAAAAUCAACCUGCAAAUGACCCUGAGACCCAGACAUGGCCUGGCAUUUCCAUGACUCCCAGCAACAGCUGCUACUGGUCCCAGCAUCCCUCCCAGCCAACAAGAUCGGCCCGCUAGCUUUUCCUUGUCCACAGCAUUACAGACCUGGGUCUUGAGAAGGGCCUUGAACGAGGAGAGGGUGUUGGGGGUCAGUUCCCAAAGGGCUUUCUAUGUGGAAGGGGCCAUGUGGGAGAUGGUAUAAAGGCAGUUGUGAGAGGGGCUGGCCAAUGUGAGAGGUGCUGGGGUUGCUGAUGGAGCAGAGGUGGGAUCCAGCCAGGAGCAGACUUCAGAGGAGCCAUGCAAGCCGGACCAUCUGGUUAAGCUUCAGACAGUGGAAGAGAAAGAGCUGUAAGAGGGCCAGGGUCAGAGUGAUGUACGGCUGCAUCCUCAACAACUAGGAGGAAGGAGAGGUAUGAAAACCUGGGGGCUUGAGGGAGAUUUUUAAUAGCAUGCAGAAAAGAGGGGUGUCUUAGAGCUAUGUCACAUCAAGAUUGAUGAUUCCUCCUAAUCCUGACUGUCUUUAAGGUGUCUCUUGGGGCCCAGGCCUGACUAACACUUGCUGUUAGGGUCGGGCGAGGAAGGAGGUUGUGGGCCUGGCUGAUAGGAAAGGGUGGCCAGCACAGCCAUGCGCCCCCAGCUGCCGGGGGCAUGCACCGUUCAUGGGUGGUGCAAUGCAACAGGCAAGAGAGGAGGUGAGGGGCCAAAAAGCAGGGAAGGAGGUCAGGAGAUGGCUCUUAGUCAAAUGAAGUCAGAGCUGACAGCCAGUCGCUGGGGACAGGCAGAGAUGUGGGGCAGGUUGGAGAGAGACCAGCCAGGGUGGAAAGACAGGCUUUUGAAUCACCGAUGCACAGAGAGGGCAGCUGCAAUCGUGUCCGGGGCAGAAACUACCAGAGGGAGAUGAAGCCACUGAACGCCUGUCACCAGGCAGCUGACGCCUUCAGCAAUCAGCAGGGCAGCCCGAAUUUAGACGAGUCCUAGUAGCACCCCCAGGCCUCUCAGCCCCCCCGCUGCAGGAGGGUGGCCCUGGAACGCCUGCCUGCCCCAGGAGCCCAUGCAUCAGCCUCGGGGACCAGCCCGCAGGUGGGCUGCUACAGCAGAGUGCCCGUGCGAGGGUGUUGCUGCUGGGACAGGCAUGUGUGUGAAGAGGUGCGGACACUGAACCAGUUGCACCAGUCUCUUCAUGUGGCUGCUCCCAGCUCCCUCAUUUUCAGCUGGUCUUGUAGCCCUCAGGCCAAGAUGAAGAAUCAUUACCACAGGGUCCUUCUGCUCAGAUCAAAUACGUCGUAUCAGGUGAACCCCCUGCCUCACACAGGAUGGAUCCAUUGGCCCAUCUUGAAAUCACUGUGCUAUGACCCUACGUCUGGCCUACGUAAAAUCCCACUAUGGUUUUAGUGGGACGCAGGAUUUUCACUCUGCACCCAGCUGUUGCGUGGCAGUGAUGCAAGCUGGCUGUUCGUCGGGAGUGGGGGGUAAUUUGGAGGGCGCCAGUGAAGCCUGACAAGGGUUUUGAGAUCAUGAGGUGCAGGUGCUUGUCAUACAGAUGACAAAAGUUAUUAAUAUCCCAAAUGCCUUUCCCUGGGAAAGAAACUUGGAUAUUCCUGGGGGGAUAGUGGAGGGAAGGCAGACAGAGUCUGAUCCACUUAACAAGCUUCUUGGUAAUUUUCCCUGGAGGAAUGAAUUCGUCCUGUCGGCAGAAAAAAGCACUUCCUAAACACUCACCCUUCGUAUUUUUAGUGGAUUCCAGGAUUUCUCUCAGCCAGGAUGUGAACUCCUAGGAUAUUCCUCUGUGUCUACUUCCAUGAGUUCUCUGCUGGACUUUCUUCAGGCUUUUAUGCCAUGCCCAUCACUGUAAUAUCUGACUACCGAGCUGGCAGUAUCCCGGGUUUGCUUCUGGGCAGUAACUCAAUAGCCAGCUAUGAAUGCAUCCUUGGCCAUGACCCAUUGUCUCUGCCUCCCCUCUCAGUGGCUCUAAGAUCAGGGACAGAAGUUCAAUAAACAGAUUUAACCUAAAUCAGUUGAGUCUGAUACUACCUCCAUCCAGGUGUAUCUUAAGCCAGUUUCAGCCAUUUUGAAAGCAGUUUAUAGGCACCGAACGUCUGAUUUGAACUGGUUUCCGAUCACUUAUGCUGGUUUAUGUGUAAAGUCUGUGCCUAGCCUAAGAGACACAGGUAAGCAUGGGGGAUUCAUAACGAGCCCAGAGUAUCAUUGCCAUGCACAAGUCUGCUGCAAAAGACUGUUUUUUGAGUGGAAUGGAGCGGAGACGGUCACGUCCAAUUUACCGCUUAUACUCUGAUGCACGCUACUCUCCUGGGAGGCAGAGUUGGGGAGAUGAGGAGUUUGGGUCAUUUCUGGAAGCUCCCUAGCCUCCGCCUCUGCUGGACCAGCACAACGCACUGGCUUCCCUCAACAAGUUUAAUGAGAUUCAUUCUGUGUACAUAGUUCCUAAAUAGUUUAGCCCCAGGGGAAGAACGUGACUUUCCAGCCCUGAAUAUAGUACGGAGGAAAGGCUUAGUCAUGAUUUGCACUGGUCUACUUUUACAGUCUCCUCCAGAUUUCUGCACCCAUGGAUUCUGCCUUAGGUCCGUAGUGACACGCUAGUGAUUAUGUCUGUGAAGAGCCCCUGCCCCUGCCCUAUUUGUCUUCUACAUAUCAAUGCCCAUCAGUAGACCAGACGCUGGCCAAACAAGGGCUGCAGCUUUCUGGCCUGAAAGCCCAUCUACUCCUGCUGGUCAUCCCCCACCUGCAGCCCCCUGGUCCCACCCUUGUCCAGGCACAAACUCCCUCCUCCCUUCCUGUUUCACCAGAAGAAUCCCACCGCUCCCAAGGGAGCCUGUUUUCAGGAGAACACCAAGAUCAAUGUCCGGCAGUUUGGAAGCAGAUGAAGGAAGCCAAAUAUAUUUGAGUUUGACUGAUUUAUGACACUGUUUUCUGAGACAUUGGGGGUUAACAAUCCAGAAGAUGCUCUAUCCUGUUGACAGGGAGGAUGUUCCCCAGGAAGCAUGUAAGCACCAGCUGGUGGGCUGAGUGCCUCUUUGGAAAACCAGACCACAUGUAUCUCAAACUGAGUUCACUGAAACAGCUUUAUCCCAAGCCAGCAGCUAUUUGGGGUCAUAACUCCUUCCUGCCUGCUUCAAAGUUUCUGCAGGAACUUCUGGACAACCGGCUUUGGGGCCUGGGCUGCACCUAGCUGCUCUCUGCCUGACCCUGCUGACCCAGAUGGGUCGUGUAUCUGCCAGAUCGCCUGCUGACCGGUCGAGAUGCCUGGUGAAUAAAGAUUACCGCAAUGUCUAUUACUGAGAAACCAAGCGAGUGGACGCGGUCUGCCCCCAAACCACUUCAACUCCCUGCAAAAACACUCCACUGCCCUGCUGAAGUGCAAAGCAAACUCCAAGGACCUCAGGCCCUUCCAGUUAAUCAUUGCAGCCUCCAGCCUACUGGCAGCACCACAGUGACAGAGGUUGGGUCCUGGACAUUACCGCCAGCAGUAUCCUGGGUCAUCCUGCUGCCUGAUGGUAUUUGGAAGGAAUAAGCCAUGGGACAGCCCCCUUGAUGGUUCCUUGUAGACUCUCAACCUAAAGGACCAAUGCAGCCUUGGAGCAAGAAACUCAACUCCCAUUAACUUCAAAGGCAUUGUGCCCUCUUACUCCAGUGCAGUCAAUGGCAAUGUCUCAUUGACUCAGGGCAAUGUCUCAGGGCAAUGUCACUCGGUUCAGCUCAUCACACACGAGUCUCCAGGAGUCUGAUAGUGCCUGUUGGAGUCCCUGGCUCCCCUGCCCCGCUGGAAUCACCCAUCCAAUCAUCCAUGCUGGCAGGUGGAGAACUGCAUUGCUAGAAGAGCCAACUGCUGUUCUUGGGUGCUGUUUAUGCAGGUAAUGUAAAUACUGGGUAGCUCAGGACCAUCUUGGCCACUCUAUACACCUGGCGUGACAUGGGUCACCAAGGGUACCAGUCCACUGAAUAUGCAGGUUGUCGCUGCCAAUGCAGGGCAGUGAUUACCAGACAGUGCAUGGGGUGCCAGUCUGUUGGGCAUGACUGACAGCACAAGGUGGUUCUCAGAUGCCAAAAGGACCAGGUCCGACUACCAAAGCAGGGGACUCUACAAGGGCUAGUUGCACUGGGUAUAGGUACCUGCAUGGCAGGUGGCACACAGCUGACACUCUCCAAAACCCUUUGCGUAGCCAGCCACCUGAAUCACACCAGGCACAGCGCAAUGCUGCGCUCCUUGUCUCUUUACAAGUGACGUGUGUCUGGGAGCUGCAGUCAUCUCUUCUGCCUUUGAGUCAGAACGUGGCCUGUUAUUAGAGAGUAGAGCUGUUAUGAGAUAAAAUAAACCCAGUGGAAAGGCAUAGCUGCUGUAUUACUCAUCCAUUUAAAGCGUAGAAAGCAAACACUUCCAAGGAAGACCAAUCAUCUUUCCCAGCAGUUUUGCUGGCUCUGCUGGGGCAGAAAUCCUAAUGUAAUAACAACGUCUUGACUAUAAACAGCUCUGAUCACUGGAGGACCUCAAAGCACUUUGCUCGUACUCACGCAUGAAACCCACUGUAGAAGUUGGCUUGGGCAAACUCGAUCAGAUCCCUUGUCAUCAGGGCAGGUACCCAUGGGAUCACUAACCCAUUUCCUACGGGACCCAGGAGCUCUGCUGGUGGUCUGCCCUUCCAAGCACCGAGCCAGCCUGGCUGUGUUUAGCUCAGGAGCUGCUCAGGGUAUUGCCCAGCUGCUGGUCUUAACCAGCAUCAUGUUCUUCUGUCUCACACAAAUCUCCUCUUUGCUGUACUGCAGCACCAAGCGGUGUUGGAACCGUCCUGCACUGACUAGCCCUGGACUAUGUGAGACCUCUUGCAUCUCUGGGUUCUUGUGGAUCAAACCCUAGGGUCCCGUUUGCUUUUACUCGGGAGCCAAGCCAAGCUGUCCCCAGGAUCUGCCCUUGAUUCUGGGCUUGUUGGCUCUAGGAAGGAGUCUGUGCCUUUCUCUAUAGAUUUUGGAAACUCCCCUUGGGGUCAGUCUCUAUCCCAGCCCACUCCUGUUUGGGUGCCAUUGAUGUAUCUUCCGUUCCACGAUAUGGCAUCAUGUCCAGGUGCCCUGUAAUAAAGAGAGUGCCUCAUGGAUUU